Molecule: long non-coding RNA, 1109 nt
Organism: Zea mays
Lineage: Eukaryota; Viridiplantae; Streptophyta; Magnoliopsida; Poales; Poaceae
Exons: 3
Source: RefSeq, a predicted model, not a curated record
GGGAGAAAGGUCCAGGCUGCGGGAAAAAUCCAGAGCGGCGCGCGGGAGGCGACUUCUCCUAGGUCGCGUCUCCCGCGACUUCUCCUAGGCCACGCGACGCUAGCAGCGCCAUGGCUGAACUGAAAGCAAAGAGGGGUAGUCGUACUUACCUCACAUGGACAGAUGCGAUGGAUCUAGCUCUUUUGGAAGUUCUUGUGGAGCAUCACAAUAAUGGAGACCGUGGUCAAAAUGGUUGGAAGCCACAUGUCUACAAUGCUGCCAUAAGAAAUGUGAAGGAUAAGUGCAAUGUGGAUAUCACAAAGGAUAAUAUUUCGGCAAGGUGCAAGACCUUUGAUAAGCACUAUGAAAUCAUUAGCAAGAUACUAUCGCAGAGUGGCUUUGGGUGGGAUUGGGAGAACAAUAGACUUUCUAUGGACAAUGAAGAUGUUUAGUUUAGAUAUGUGGAGGCUAACAAAGGAGCAGCAUGCUACAAGACAAAAGUGGUGAAGAACUGGGAUGCAAUCUGCACUAUAUACUCCAAAGACCAUGCCAAUGGUGAAGGUGCCAAGACAGGGACUGAAAGUGGUCAAGAUGUGGUGAAUGACAGUCCUACAAAUGCCAAUGAAAACUCUCCGGUGUUAGCUCCAAAGAAGCAGCGAACUGGUGAUGCAAUUAUGGGUGUACUUACUGAUAUGAAAGCUUCAUUUCAGGAGGCUAUGCAGUCCAAUGCACCUUUAGAAUUGCCAAAGAAGACGGCUCCGUCUAAGAUCCUUGCAGCGCUUCAAGAAAUUCCUGAUUUACCUCGUGAAGACAUGCUACGAUCUUAUGGUAUGUUGCUAAGCCGUGAUGAUCGCAUAUUUGAAGCUCUUAUGGAGCUCCCAAUGGAAAUGAGGAAAGAUUGGCUGCUGUUUGAGAAUGAGAGGAAGUGAAGUAUGUGGAGACAACAUAGUCUUUUGCUACUCCAGGAUGCUAGUUAAAACUUGUUCUCCUAGUUAGUUAGUGGAGAAAGACUUUGCUUUUGCUACAAUGUAGUAGUUAAGAACUUGUUGAAAUAUUAACUAGUUAUCGUCAUGUUGUAUUGUCACAGGUAUUGUAGUAUUUAUUUGUGAUCUGAGUGAUCUGAAUGUUCA